GUGCUAUCACUUCAGCAGCACAUAUACUAAAAUUGGAAUGAUACAGAGAAGAUUAGAAUGGCCCCUGCACAAGGAUGACACGCAAGCAAUAGGAAAAGACCUCCAAAUGG
Sorex fumeus (smoky shrew) is the source of this 110-nucleotide small nuclear RNA. NCBI's taxonomy places the organism in Eukaryota, Metazoa, Chordata, Mammalia, Eulipotyphla, Soricidae. The record is from RefSeq and is a predicted model, not a curated record.